GUGGCCAACGAGCGUCGUCGCCGCAGGUCACCACCCCAUCUCUGGCGUCCUCUCCGGCGACCCCAACCGCGUCGACUUCAUCACCGGUGCUCUUGGCAUCCCUCCUGGCACGCUCACCUCCAAUAGCGACGCGUACGCGGCUCCUCCCGCGUUCCUCGCUGCCCUCUACGUGGCUGCACUGCGGGCCACCACACCCACGACCUACGACGCCGCAGCGCGUCGCGCCGAACUCCUAGCUCCGCACUUCCCAUACCUGAGUGCGGGUCAUGACACUCCCGCCCUGCCUAGGGUCGCGCGGGGGUUCGACAUUCCGCCUCCCGUCUACAACCACCCGUCGGUUCUCACCACUACUCAGCAUCCUCGUGCUCCCGACAUCACUGUCGCCCUCGCCGCUACCCAUUAGCGCGCAGGCUGCCGCCCACACCUGAGCAGGAACGAGCAGUCGUCGAUGCCCUCAAGCGCUAGCUCGUCCGCUCGCUGGUGCCCAGGGCGAUGUCUCCUACUUUGUGCACGCCGUCGAUGAUGAUGCCCCCGACACGUCGAUCAUCGUCAGUCUCCAUGCUCAGGCGACGAGAUUUCCCAGUAUUCGAGCUCUGGUCUCGACGACCACGUCCUCACGCGGUGGUGUCGACGCACGCCUGGUCCCGGAUGGACAGCGUUGUCCUGACCUAGAUCCUUGGCACCCUCACGGUCGAGAUGCAUGACGACGUCCGCGAGGAGGGCGGGACCGCUCGCCAGGCCUGGGUUGCUAUCGAGGCCAAGUU
This 764-nucleotide unclassified non-coding RNA is filed under the name Zea mays. RNAcentral's name for it is "misc RNA Zm00001eb105080". The record is from RNAcentral. Lineage: Eukaryota; Viridiplantae; Streptophyta; Magnoliopsida; Poales; Poaceae.